UAGGGAAUCUUCCGCAAUGGACGAAAGUCUGACGGAGCAACGCCGCGUGAGUGAUGAAGGCUUUCGGGUCGUAAAACUCUGUUGUUAGGGAAGAACAAGUACGAGAGUAACUGCUUGUACCUUGACGGUACCUAACCAGAAAGCCACGGCUAACUACGUGCCAGCAGCCGCGGUAAUACGUAGGUGGCAAGCGUUAUCCGGAAUUAUUGGGCGUAAAGCGCGCGCAGGCGGUUUCUUAAGUCUGAUGUGAAAGCCCACGGCUCAACCGUGGAGGGUCAUUGGAAACUGGGGAACUUGAGUGCAGAAGAGAAAAGCGGAAUUCCACGUGUAGCGGUGAAAUGCGUAGAGAUGUGGAGGAACACCAGUGGCGAAGGCGGCUUUUUGGUCUGUAACUGACGCUGAGGCGCGAAAGCGUGGGGAGCAAACAGGAUUAGAUACCCUGGUAGUCCACGCCGUAAACGAUGAGUGCUAAGUGUUAGAGGGUUUCCGCCUUUAGUGCUGCAGCUAACG
RNAcentral lists this ribosomal RNA (510 nucleotides) under uncultured Bacillota bacterium. Its description in RNAcentral is "bacterial SSU rRNA". It matches the Rfam family "Bacterial small subunit ribosomal RNA", at positions 355 to 857 of the family's 1533-position model. Lineage: Bacteria; Bacillati; Bacillota. The record is from RNAcentral.